GCAUGUUUAGAUUUGAGAUUUGACCCAAACAUGUGGUCCUGUCUCAGUGUACGACAUGCUAGAUCAGCCUGACUCCGAACCAUUGACGGGUCCAAAACAGUGGACCUGAUCACUGAAGCGAGUCAGACAUGG
Mola mola (ocean sunfish) is the source of this 132-nucleotide small nucleolar RNA. NCBI's taxonomy places the organism in Eukaryota, Metazoa, Chordata, Actinopteri, Tetraodontiformes, Molidae. The record is from Ensembl.